RNAcentral lists this small RNA (132 nucleotides) under Escherichia coli. Its description in RNAcentral is "RtT sRNA". It matches the Rfam family "RtT RNA". Rfam says of the family: This family represents a bacterial cis-regulatory element known as RtT RNA. Lineage: Bacteria; Pseudomonadati; Pseudomonadota; Gammaproteobacteria; Enterobacterales; Enterobacteriaceae. The record is from RNAcentral.
UUCUGCCCAAGCGGGGGAAGGAUGAGAAGCUUCGACCAAGGUUCGACUCGAGCGCCAGCGAGAGAGCGUGGCCGCAGGCAACGACCCGAAGGGCGAAGCGCGCAGCGCUGAGUAAUCCUUCCCCCAUCACCA